AGGUGUACACCAAUAGAUGAUUUAUUUCAUCUUUUUUCAAUUAAUAUAUCUUUCAUGAUAUUAAAAAUUUCUUUGAAAAAUAUCUCAACUCUAAAACUUUAAAAUGUUUCAUGAGACAUCCUUUAGGUGACUCUUAUAAAGAUUUUUGGCAGCAUAAAAUAUUUCACUUUAAAACAAAGUUAGCUAUUGUUUUGUUCCCAG
This 201-nucleotide long non-coding RNA is filed under the name Vigna radiata. Its description in RNAcentral is "long non-coding RNA (VRAD_LNC002245)". Lineage: Eukaryota; Viridiplantae; Streptophyta; Magnoliopsida; Fabales; Fabaceae. The record is from RNAcentral.